Non-coding RNA from Picea glauca (white spruce), 119 nucleotides. The record is from Rfam. NCBI's taxonomy places the organism in Eukaryota, Viridiplantae, Streptophyta, Pinopsida, Pinales, Pinaceae.
GCUCAUGAUGAUUUAUCUGAUGUAUGGAGUUGCAAGUGGUGCCAAGUUCUUGAUAUCAAGGAGAACCUACUUGGUGUUUCUCUUGCAUCUCAUUGACGCCAUUGGGCUUUCUCUGACGU